Molecule: ribosomal RNA, 392 nt
Filed under: uncultured bacterium
Lineage: Bacteria
Description: partial 16S ribosomal RNA
Rfam family: Bacterial small subunit ribosomal RNA
Source: RNAcentral
AUACGUAUGUCGCAAGCGUUAUCCGGAUUUAUUGGGCGUAAAGCGCGUCUAGGCGGCUUAGUAAGUCUGAUGUGAAAAUGCGGGGCUCAACCCCGUAUUGCGUUGGAAACUGCUAAACUAGAGUACUGGAGAGGUAGGCGGAACUACAAGUGUAGAGGUGAAAUUCGUAGAUAUUUGUAGGAAUGCCGAUGGGGAAGCCAGCCUACUGGACAGAUACUGACGCUAAAGCGCGAAAGCGUGGGUAGCAGACAGGAUUAGAUACCCUGGUAGUCCACGCCGUAAACGAUGAUUACUAGGUGUUGGGGGUCGAACCUCAGCGCCCAAGCUAACGCGAUAAGUAAUCCGCCUGGGGAGUACGUACGCAAGUAUGAAACUUAAAGGAAUUGACGGGG